Molecule: long non-coding RNA, 595 nt
Organism: Hibiscus syriacus
Lineage: Eukaryota; Viridiplantae; Streptophyta; Magnoliopsida; Malvales; Malvaceae
Exons: 3
Source: RefSeq, a predicted model, not a curated record
UCCAAACUGUCAGAAAAAAAAGUUAGAAGAAAGGAAGGGUAAACAUUACUUGGCUUUUCUCUUAUUUUCAACCUUAUUUCAUGUUUUCCCUCUUCUUCACAUGCACAAAAUGCAGACCUUAAGCUGCCAUUGAGGGCUGUAAACCUUGGCAACUGGCUGGUCACUGAAGGAUGGAUGAAACCUUCUCGUUUUGAUGGAAUAAUUAACAAAUAUCUUUUGGAUGGAACUCAAGUUCAGUUCUCUCAACGAAGCUAAACAAGUAUCUGUGCGCUGAAAACGGUGGUGGAACGGUUGUAGUAGCCAACCGUCCCUCACCUUCUGAUUGGGAAACCUUCAGUUGUGGAGGUCAAUGAGUCAUAUUUCAACUUGAGAGUGUCUCACAAGCAUUUGUGGGAGUAGGGAGUGGAGGUGUAGAAGCUGUUUCAAAUACACCCACCGGUUUAGAGACAUUUCAGAUUGUAAGGAAAGAUGAUGAUCUGAGUCGAGUUCGGUUCCAAGCAUCAAUGGCUUGUUCCUACAGGCACAAUCGGAGACGCUGGUAACUGCAGAUUAUGCAGGGUCCAGUUGGGACGACAGCGAUCCUCUGUGUUCAAAA